Molecule: unclassified non-coding RNA, 329 nt
Filed under: soil metagenome
Description: partial contains 5.8S ribosomal RNA, internal transcribed spacer 2, and large subunit ribosomal RNA
Rfam family: 5.8S ribosomal RNA (bases 1-120)
Source: RNAcentral
GAUGAAGAACGCAGCGAAAUGCGAUAAGUAAUGUGAAUUGCAGAAUUCAGUGAAUCAUCGAAUCUUUGAACGCACAUUGCGCACUCUGGUAUUCCGGGGGGCAUGCCUGUUCGAGCGUCAUUAUAACCACUCAAGCUCUCGCUUGGUAUUGGGGUUCGCGGUUUCGCGGCCCCUAAAAUCAGUGGCGGUGCCUGUCGGCUCUACGCGUAGUAAUACUUCUCGCGAUUGAGUUCGAUAGGUCUACUUGCCAGUAACCCCCAAUUUUUACAGGUUGACCUCGGAUCAGGUAGGGAUACCCGCUGAACUUAAGCAUAUCAAUAAGCGGAGGA